This is a non-coding RNA of Oryctolagus cuniculus (rabbit), 3038 nucleotides long. The record is from RefSeq and is a predicted model, not a curated record. Lineage: Eukaryota; Metazoa; Chordata; Mammalia; Lagomorpha; Leporidae.
GUGGGGCUGAACACAGCCUCCUGCUCUGGGUUGCCUGGAUUGCCUAACGGCUGUCAGCUCAUCCUCUCUGUGGUGGGGUCUGGUGUUGCCCGGAGAAGAAUCGCCCAGGCCGGUAACCAGGGCCUUUGAUCCUCAGAGUUGCUACUAUCAGUGCUUUCCCUCCUCUUGUUCUGUCUUUCUCCAAACUUUGAAGAUAAUGAGUCUUAAACAUUUGCAAGUAAUUAGAAGGUGUGGCUGCCAAAGAAAACUUUAAUUCACAGAUGGCAGAGGCGAAGGCGCUGUGUGUUUCAUGGAAAAAGAACAGGUGAUGAAAGGAUCAAAAAGACUACAGGGAGGCUGGCAGGUUAGGCCACUGCUUAUGAUGCGAGUACCCGUAUCUUAGUGCCAGUUCAAGUCCCUGCUGCUCCGCUUCUGAUCCAGCUUCUAGCUAAUAUGCCUGGGAAGGCAGUGGAAGAUGGCCCAAGAACUUGGGUCCCUGCCAUCCACGUGGGAGACUUGGCUGGAGUUCCUGGAUCCUUGCUUGGAGAGUGGUGCAGAUUGACCGCCAACUGUUUCAGAGAUACUUUACCUCCUGUGCUGCUGCCACAGCAUUUCAACUUUUUCUCCUAAAAUCACUUCCCUACGACAAAGCAAAGCUGAACAGUCCCUCCUGGGGAUGAGGAAGACUGAUAAUUUUUAUGACUAUACAUUCAAAAUGCCCUACAAAACACCAGCAAACCAAAGCCAAUAACAUAUAAAAAGGAUUAUGCAAAAUCCUGCUGCCAACAAUUUUAUUCAACAUUGGACUGGAACUUCUAGCCAGGGCAGCUAGGAAAGAAAACAAAAUAAAAAGCCUCUAACUUGGGGGCCAGCGUGGUGGUACAGCAGGUUGGCCUCAGCCUGAGACGCUGGCAUCCCUGAGGAGCACUGGUUCAAGUCCCGGGUGCCCUGCUUCUUCGUUCUCUUAACUGAGGAAAGAGAAAUGUUCACAUAGAAGAAAGAGCAUGUAGACUCACUUUCAGAAACUUCUUUUAAAGGAAAAAGUAACAUAGAAUUUCCUCAUUGAAGCAAAGAAGCAUUUUAAUAAGUGGACUCAAAGAAUAGAGCUACUCAGGUAACACCGCCACCUGCAGUGCCGGCAUCCCAUAUGGGUGCCAGUUCAAAUCCCGGCUGCUCCACUUCCAGUCCCACUCUCUGCUAUGGCCUGGGAAAGCAGUGGAAGAUAGCCCAAGUCCUUGGGCCCCUGUGCCUGUGUGGAGAGACACAGAGGAAGCUCCUGGCUUCUGGCUUUUGACCAGCGCAGCUCCAGCCAUUGCAGCCAUCUGGGGAGUGAACCAGCAAAUGGAAGACACCUCUGUCUCUCUCUCUACCUCUGCCUCUCUGUAACUCUGCCUUUCAAACAAAUAAAAAAUGUAUUAAAAAAAGAAUAGAACUACUACUAAUUAUAAAUUGACUAGCAGAAUAAUAUAUUUUUGUCAUUCUUCAAGGUGUAUGGAAUUUUGUAUUUUUAAAAAUAAAUCAAACUUUUAAAAAAAUCUCUUUUCUUUCAGCCUCUAACUGUACGAUUCAUGGGUUAGAUGCCACUAUCUAAAAGCUGAUUGCAGUUAAAAAAAAUAGUAGGUUGAAUUUCUGCCUACAUAUUUAAAUAUUUUCUUUUAUUUUCUGGACUGUAGCUUCUCUGCUGUGGAUUUUCACUGUUUCAGGAACUGAUAUCCCAGAUGGCUACGGCGAAGUUGCAGUAAUCAUCGAAGGGUUUUUAGGUCUUUAGUAACAAACAUUGGUAUCUGACUCUGACAGCAUUGUAAAGCAUUUUCCUGCUUCAUUCUUCUAGAGUUUGUUCAAUCCAAGAAAGAGAGUUCUCCUCUAACCAUGUGUUUUUCUCAACUGAAGAAGAUCUUUGUUUCAUUAGAAAGAAACCGAGUUUCUAAAAUUGCAAUUCUUGGCACCUAGCUCCAUGAGGUUGGAAUGACUUGAUUUUCAGGUCUGGUAAGUGUGAUCUGUCAUUUAGGCAAUGUAGACAAUGUCUGCCUUUCUGCAUUUGAAAUGAAAAAAAGGAAUUGCCAAGAUUCUGAAUGUAAUUCUGUCAAGUUUACAUACAUCCAUGUGUGUGUGUAACACAUGUGUAAAUCUGAUAGAUGUGAAAAAAUAGUCUAUUACCUUUGAGAUAUAUAGUUAUAUCUCCAUUUUUCUUGGUUUUUUUAGCUUUAUUUACGUACUUUGAAAGUCAGAGUUAGAGAGAGAAACAGCAAGAGAGCUCUUGCAGCUGCUGGUUCAUUCCCAAGACGGCUUCAACAACCAGCACUGGGCCAGGCCCAAGCCGGGAGCCUGGGCUUCAUCCAGGUCAAUGAAAACCUUGCUUUUCCAUCUUAAAAAAAGACUAUGCUCCGUAUUUAUCUAUGAUAGCACCAUCCAGUGAAAUACUUUCCUAGUGAAAUACCAGCAAGCAACCAAAUACCCAACCUGACUUCAUCUCUAAACCCUUCCGUUGGAGUUGAGACCCUUCCUGACUUGUUGGAGACAAGAGACUAGCGACUGCCACUGAGAAAUGGACAACAAGCCAUUCUGCAGAGAGCAGUGAGAGGAGACAACGCAUGUGUGCACAAAUGGGCAGGUAGGUAGGAUUUUUCAAGAAGGAAAUGAUAGAAAUAGCUCUAGAUGUUCUGUUUUUCUUCAGAAAGCUCAUAAAAAACAUCAUGAAAAAACAGUACAUGGACCUCAAUGUUUUACACCAAACUAAACUUACCUUCUAAUUCUGUUUUCCAUGAACUUUCAAAGCACCCUCAUAUUUUUUCUCAUGGAAUUAAAAACUACUUAUUCUGAGAACACUGCUACCAAAAAAAGUAUUCAAUGAUUAAGUAAUUAUCAACUAAUUCCAUAAAUGCCAGAAUCAAGACUAUCAGUCUCUCAAGUUCUUUCCAAUCUGACCCACCACAGAUCUCAAAACAUUAAGAUUUACCACUUUAGCCAUGACUCUCUUUACAUUCUUCUAGAAGAUACUGAAUGUUUGUCUUCAACUCAAUACACAUCUGAACAAGAGAAUCUACCACAAGAUAAGUGUC